GACGUUAUAGUUUAAUGGUAGAAUUAUGUGCUACGAACGCAAAGGUAUAGGUUCGACCCCUAUUGGCGUCU
Extremus antarcticus is the source of this 71-nucleotide non-coding RNA. The record is from the annotation of a GenBank genome assembly. NCBI's taxonomy places the organism in Eukaryota, Fungi, Ascomycota, Dothideomycetes, Mycosphaerellales, Extremaceae.